AACGAACGCUGGCGGCAUGCCUAACACAUGCAAGUCGAACGAACCCUCCGGGGUUUUUGGCGCACGGGUGCGUAAGGCGAGGGGAUCUGCCCUUUGCUUCGGAAUAACUCAGGGAAACUUGUGCUAAUACCGGAUGAUGUCUUCGGACGAAAGAUUUAUCGGCACGGGAUGAGCCAGCGUAGGAUUCGGUCGUUGGUGGGGUAAAGGCCUCCCAAGCCGACGAUCCUUAGCUGGUCUGAGAGGAUGAUCAGCAACACUGGGACUGAGACACGGCCCAGACUCCUACGCGAGGCGGCAGUGGGGAAUAUUGGACAAUGGGCGCAAGCCUGAUCCAGCAAUGCCGCGUGAGUGAUGAAGGCCCUCGGGUCGUAAAGCUCUUUUACCAGGGAUGAUAAUGACAGUACCUGGAGAAUAAGCUCCGGCUAACUCCGUG
Molecule: ribosomal RNA, 433 nt
Filed under: uncultured bacterium
Lineage: Bacteria
Description: partial 16S ribosomal RNA
Rfam family: Bacterial small subunit ribosomal RNA
Source: RNAcentral